AAGCAAGGAAACUUACAACAAAGAGUCCCUCCCGACUGUUUACCAAAAACACAGCACUCUGCUAACUCGUAAGAGGAUGUAUAGGGUGUGACGCCUGCCCGGUGCUCGAAGGUUAAUUGAUGGGGUUAGCAUUAGCGAAGCUCUUGAUCGAAGCCCGAGUAAACGGCGGCCGUAACUAUAACGGUCCUAAGGUAGCGAAAUUCCUUGUCGGUUAAAUACCGACCUGCAUGAAUGGCGUAACGAGAUGGGAGCUGUCUCAAAGAGGGAUCCAGUGAAAUUGUAGUGGAGGUGAAAAUUCCUCCUACCCGCGGCAAGACGGAAAGACCCCGUGGACCUUUACUACAGCUUGACACUGCUACUUGGAUAAGAAUGUGCAGGAUAGGUGGGAGGCUUUGAGUAUAUGACGCCAGUUGUAUAUGAGCCAUUGUUGAGAUACCACUCUUUCUUAUUUGGGUAGCUAACCAGCUUGAGUUAUCCUCAAGUGGGACAAUGUCUGGUGGGUAGUUUGACUGGGGCGGUCGCCUCCCAAAUAAUAACGGAGGCUUACAAAGGUUGGCUCAGAACGGUUGGAAAUCGUUCGUAGAGUAUAAAGGUAUAAGCCAGCUUAACUGCAAGACAUACAAGUCAAGCAGAGACGAAAGUCGGUCUUAGUGAUCCGGUGGUUCUGUGUGGAAGGGCCAUCGCUCAAAGGAUAAAAGGUACCCCGGGGAUAACAGGCUGAUCUCCCCCAAGAGCUCACAUCGACGGGGAGGUUUGGCACCUCGAUGUCGGCUCAUCGCAUCCUGGGGCUGGAGCAGGUCCCAAGGGUAUGGCUGUUCGCCAUUUAAAGCGGUACGCGAGCUGGGUUCAGAACGUCGUGAGACAGUUCGGUCCCUAUCUGCCGUGGGCGUAAGAAGAUUGAAGAGAUUUGACCCUAGUACGAGAGGACCGGGUUGAACAAACCACUGGUGUAGCUGUUGUUCUGCCAAGAGCAUCGCAGCGUAGCUAAGUUUGGAAAGGAUAAACGCUGAAAGCAUCUAAGCGUGAAGCCAACUCUAAGAUGAAUCUUCUCUAAGCUCUCUAGAAGACUACUAGUUUGAUAGGCUGGGUGUGUAAUGGAUGAAAGUCCUUUAGCUGACCAGUACUAAUAGAGCGUUUGGCUUAUCUUU
RNAcentral lists this ribosomal RNA (1148 nucleotides) under Campylobacter coli. RNAcentral's name for it is "partial 23S ribosomal RNA". It matches the Rfam family "Bacterial large subunit ribosomal RNA", at positions 1765 to 2925 of the family's 2925-position model. The record is from RNAcentral. Lineage: Bacteria; Pseudomonadati; Campylobacterota; Epsilonproteobacteria; Campylobacterales; Campylobacteraceae. RNAcentral also lists the same sequence under 1 other name.